This 274-nucleotide ribosomal RNA is filed under the name uncultured bacterium. RNAcentral's name for it is "partial 16S ribosomal RNA". It matches the Rfam family "Bacterial small subunit ribosomal RNA", at positions 523 to 796 of the family's 1533-position model. The record is from RNAcentral.
AUACGGAGGGUACAAGCGUUACUCGGAAUCACUGGGCGUAAAGCGCGCGCAGGCGGUCUUUUAAGUUGGAUGUGAAAGCCUACGGCUCAACCGUAGAACUGCAUCCAAAACUAUUAGACUAGAGUGUGGGAGAGGAAGAUGGAAUUAGUUGUGUAGGGGUAAAAUCCGUAGAGAUAACUAGGAAUACCAAAAGCGAAGGCAAUCUUCUGGAACACUACUGACGCUGAGGCGCGGAAGCGUGGGGAGCAAACAGGAUUAGAAACCCCUGUAGUCC